Molecule: long non-coding RNA, 1876 nt
Filed under: Solanum tuberosum (potato)
Lineage: Eukaryota; Viridiplantae; Streptophyta; Magnoliopsida; Solanales; Solanaceae
Description: long non-coding RNA (STUB_LNC010312)
Source: RNAcentral
GAGAAACAUGUCUUGUACAACCAAUACUUAGAAAUUGAUUGCUUAAAGAUCUCUACUAUCAAUAAAUUCCACAAAACCAAAUGCAUUCAAACAUAUAUGACAAUAGUACAAAAACUCUUCGUCGUUCACUACAAUAGAUCGAGUUUACUUCUGGCCACAAUUCAAAUUCAAUUACCGGCAUUUUCCUGCACAUUUAAAAUAAAAUUAUAAGUUAGUGAAAUAAAUCAUGUAUUUAAUAUGCUUAAAUUCACAGUAAGCCAAACCAAUUCAUAACAAUAAAGUUGUGGAAGUGCAUAUAAGGUUGACAGAUAACUAUAGACAACACUGCUUGGAAUUCUAUUGAUGAAGUAAAAAGAUGCUAAAACACACUGAUACUAGAACUUUACAUCAUAUACUGAUUUAUAGCAACUGUUUAGCAUAGUCAUUAGUACUCUUGGAUCCAUUCUGAUGACUCCUAGUAGAUAGUGGUACAUUAGUGUUCAAGCCAUAUGUGAAGGUUCCUUUAGCUUGUAUUUCAGUACCUACAUACGUUUGCACAUCUAUCAUAUCAUAGGCAGCCCAGAUGCCUCACUAUAAGUUUUUUUCUUAGACUUGAAGUCAGGUGGAUAGCUUAUUAGUUUGAAACAUUGUCCUUCCUAUGUCCUGUGAAUCUGCAGAACUCACACACCAACUCUUUCCAGAAUUUCCAACUCUUUCGAAGUUAUAGAAAAGCUCAACUCUUUUCAAAAUUUCCAGCACUGUAUUAUAGCGCAAUAGUUGAAUUUCCAGAAUUUCCAGCACUGUAUAAUAUUGCAGCAGCAAAGUUUCCAGAAUUUCCAGAACUGUAUAAUAUUGCAGCAGCUUAGUUUCCAAAAUUUCAGGAUUUUCCAGAAUAUCCAGCACUGUAUAAUAUUGCAGCAGUUGAGUUUUCAGAAUUUCCAGCACUAUAUAAUAGCAGAUUGCAACAGCUGAGUUUCUAGAAUUUUCAGAAUUUCUAGAAUUUCCAGAACUUCCAGUACUGUAUAUACUGUAAACUGAUUCUAUAACCUGCACAUACACAAUAUCCUAGCAGGGAAGCUAAAAACACAACUAAACUGAUUCUAUAACCUGUACAACCAUUCAGAUGAGCAGUGGCAGCCUGUGCAAACAGUAUAAGUUGUUGUCAUGGAUUCUCUAAUUCUUGGUGAUCAGUUGUACUCUGGAGGGUAAGUCCAAAACUAACUUUUUAAAAGUAACUUAUAUAGUCUGUAAAGUUCAGUUCCUUUAAUGCGACAAAAUAGUUUAUGAGUAUACUAUCUCACUUGUUUACAAUAUGUAGUCCAUACAAACUGUACUAAAAUAAAUUCAAACAAAAUCAGGACCUAAACAAACUAUUUUUGAUCAAAUUGAACAUUAGAACUUGAAGCCUCAUAGCAUCAAAUAGCAUUUGAGAACAAUCAUACGGAGAUAUACAAUGAGUAUGUUAAAAGAUGCUCAAAAGAGAACUGAGCCACACUUGGAGAAAAAGGUAAACAACCAGAUUUUACAGCCCCAUUUCGAGAACCCAGAACCCAGAACAGGCACACUAAAAAUCAUGACUGAGUGAACUACAGAGCAUCUUGAACAAACUAAAAGGAGACUCAAUUAACUUUAAGAAAACAGAUUAAAUCAUAUCAACUAAGAAGUUGAUACAAACUAGCAGCUCACUAUUUCAGUCACAACAACGCAUAACACUCUUGGUAUGAAACAAACAAGGAAAAAUUAAAGGUAAAGAGUUGCACCUCCCUCGGAGUGAUGAACUAGGGACAACGACGAAACCAGGAGCGACUUCAAACUGCAGAGCUCACUGUUCUGCCUACAACGCAUAACACUCUUGGUCUGAAACAAACAAGGAAAAAUUAAAGGUAAAGAGUUGCAC